UACGUAGGGGCAAGCGUUGUUCGGAAUUACUGGGCGUAAAGGGCGCGUAGGCGGCAUGGCAAGUCAGGAGUGAAAGGCCUGGGCUCAACCGAGGAACUGCUUUUGAUACUGCCAAGCUAGAGUGCGGCAGAGGGGAUGGAAUUCCGCGUGUAGCAGUGAAAUGCGUAGAUAUGCGGAGGAACACCGAUGGACGAAGGCAAUCCCUGGGCCUGCACUGACGCUCAUGCACGAAAGCGUGGGGAGCAAACAGG
This 251-nucleotide ribosomal RNA is filed under the name uncultured bacterium. RNAcentral's name for it is "partial 16S ribosomal RNA". It matches the Rfam family "Bacterial small subunit ribosomal RNA", at positions 524 to 776 of the family's 1533-position model. The record is from RNAcentral.